Molecule: ribosomal RNA, 253 nt
Filed under: uncultured bacterium
Lineage: Bacteria
Description: partial 16S ribosomal RNA
Rfam family: Bacterial small subunit ribosomal RNA
Source: RNAcentral
UACGAAUGGGGCAAGCGUUGUUCGGAAUCACUGGGCUUAAAGCGUGCGCAGGCGGAUAUGAAAGUCAGGAGUGAAAUCCCAGAGCUCAACUCUGGAAUUGCUUUUGAAACUCCAUAUCUAGAAUCCGGUAGAGGUUAGUGGAAUUCCGAGUGUAGAGGUGAAAUUCGCAGAUAUUCGGAGGAACACCAGUGGCGAAGGCGACUAACUGGACCGGUAUUGACGCUCAGGCACGAAAGCGUGGGGAGCAAACAGG